RNAcentral lists this ribosomal RNA (873 nucleotides) under Triticum aestivum (bread wheat). RNAcentral's name for it is "partial small subunit ribosomal RNA". The record is from RNAcentral. Lineage: Eukaryota; Viridiplantae; Streptophyta; Magnoliopsida; Poales; Poaceae.
AUGCACCCGAUGGAGAAGACCCCCACAAACACCAAUACCAUCAACAAAACGGAGCUGCAACACGAUCACAGCGGGAACUCGUCGGCCGCCCCAACGGUGAUCGCCGUCGAGGUCGAUCCGGAUGCUCUCGGCUGCCCCACAUGCCUUCAGCCCCUUGUACCUCCAGUGUUCCAGUGCGCGGCUGGACAUCUGGUUUGUUCCACCUGCCAUGGCAACCUCUCGGACAAGAACAAGUGUACCUCCUGUUUCAUCAAAACGGGCUUCAGCCGUUGUUUCGUCCCCACGAGCUACAGCCGCUGCCACGGCGUCGACCGCAUCCUGCAAUCCGUCCGAGUCGCCUGCCCAUACCGCUGCAGUGCAGUCAAGACGUUCUACCACGAUAAGGAGGAGCAUGAGAGGACCUGUCCCGGCAAAGCCGGCGCCGUGCGCAAGCGGGGACGGGUCCUGAAGAUGGGCCCCUGCGGCGGCGGCGGCGGAGACGUCUGGGAGAUGGACUUGCGGGGUGUUAACCGUAUCGUCAAGGUGGUUCUCUGGCACUCCGGCGCGGUCGACGCCAUCUUGGUGUUAUACGAGCGGGAUGGCCGGGAGGAGCAGACCAAGCACUGGGGAAAGCUCGAAGGACAUCGUUCAGAGAUCUGCCUGGAGCCGGGUGAAUACCUCGUCGGCGUCAAAGGGAACCUGGGCAAUUUCGGUGGUUGUUUCCUCUUGGGAACGCUUACUUUCAUCAGCAACCUGCGCACCUUUGGGCCAUAUGGAACGAGGGAAGGUCCGCCAUUCGACCUUCCAGCAGCUGGCGGCAAGAUUGUUGGCUUCCAUGGCCGCUCCGGGGGCCUCCUCGAUGCUCUGGGCACUUACGUAAAGAUGGACGACUAG